CGCGAUGAUGAGGAAUGAAUAAUCUCGUUAAUCUGAUUGAUUUGUGAGGAUAAUCUCUAAUCCAUUUCAGUUUCUGAGC
Molecule: non-coding RNA, 79 nt
Organism: Daucus carota subsp. sativus
Lineage: Eukaryota; Viridiplantae; Streptophyta; Magnoliopsida; Apiales; Apiaceae
Source: Rfam